Long non-coding RNA from Gorilla gorilla gorilla (western lowland gorilla), 1591 nucleotides. RefSeq lists it as uncharacterized. The transcript has 2 exons. The record is from RefSeq and is a predicted model, not a curated record. Lineage: Eukaryota; Metazoa; Chordata; Mammalia; Primates; Hominidae.
ACAGUUAGAAGAAAUGUGCACGGAAGAUACUGCAUACCACUAUCUACAUAGGAGGUUUUCUAUUGAUGAAGUCUCGUUCUAUCGCCCAGGCUGGAGUGCAGUGGCGUGAUCUCAGCUCACUGCAACCUCCACCUCCUGGCUUCCAGUGAUUCUCCUGCUUCAGCCUCCUGAGUAGCUGGGAUUACAGGCGCCUGCCACGACGCCUGGCAAAUUUUUGUAUUUUUAGUAGAGACAGGGUUUCACCAUGUUGGCCAGGCUGGUCUUGAACUCCUGACCUGACUGAGGCAAUCUGCCCACCUCGGCCUCCCAAAGUGCUGGGAUUACAUGCGUGAGCUACUGCGCCCAGCCAAAUCUAUUUUUUAAACAAUAGAACCCCUGAUUUAAUUGAUACCUGACAUGGAAGUCUAACACUCACAGCAGAUAAAGUGAAAUUGCUAUGCCUAGAAUGUGUGUGGGAGUGUGGGGGGACAAGAGCCCUUUCCACUCAGCUCUCUCCCUUUUCUCUGUGCCCUCCGCAAUCCCUGCAGCCCUGGAGGGCUUUGAAACACUUGAAGGAUCCAUUGGACACAGACUGAAAACCACUAAUUUCUAAGUCCUAAUGGAAAACUACUGAGGGUUUGAGCAAGAGUGUUAUUUAAUCCAAGCACUAUUUUAGGAAGAUAAAUCUGACAAGAUGGAUUGUAGAGAAGCCAAGAAGCAGGGAGACCAAUUAAGACAUUAUUGAAAAAAUUCAGGCCAAAUUAACAUAGGUUCCGGGGAAUGACUGAAGGUGGGGGUAAAAAGAGAGAGACACCUGGGAUGGCUUCAAGGUUUAACGCUGCACGACUGCAACAUUAAUUAAUAGACUGAAGAUAUCUGUAAGGUCUCCUGGAUCAUCCCUCUUUUAUGGGAGGCAAAACGUCUCCAAAAUGACCACAAGGUGCCUCUGUUCUUUAAGAGGGCAGUCAACUGUUUAACACUUUUCCAAAAAUGUACAUUUUACCUCAGUUGAUAAAUUAUAUGUGCUCCUUAACAAGCUUGUUUAGAAAGUUGUUUGUUAUGGAACUGACUUACACAAACCAUGCAUGCUGUUUGUAAUUAAACCUACCUAUGCAUCUGGUACCAUCUGGAGAGGUGUAAAAACCAGGGGGACAUUUGCAAAAGUAACUGCUGACUGUGUUUGUACAUUCGCCCCCAUCACAGAUUCCAGGAAUGGUGCUGCAUUCAUCAAUAUCUGGAAUAUAAAAAAAAGAAUCUCAGCAUUUGUAGAACACAAUAUAAAACCAUUCGUCAGUAGAAGGAUUCAGAUGUUAACACUAGUCAAAUCAUGUCCCUGGAAACAGCCAUCAUUAAAAAGUAAAAACUGCAUGGAGAACAGUCAAUUCAAAGGUAGAUGCUGCUUCUUUCAACACAGACUUACCCAAAAGAUUUACCAAAUUCAACAGAUUAGGGCAAAAUGAAAUCACCCCCCUUUAAAAUCUAAACCUGUGUACUGUUGUUUCACCAAGUAACUAUAGCAUGUUAAUGUUACAAAUGUCAUUUAUUUUAAAAUUUUGUUUUCCUUUUGUUUCCAUGUUUUGCAUUAAGUUAAACUCUCCUACUAAUUAUUUUA